GAAGCUUCCCACUUUCUCUAAAAAGAUUUCUCCUUAAACUCAAGUGGAACCAUGUCAUAUAUGAUUUGGCUUUCCUAUUUGGCUUUCCUUGCUCUGCAAGUAAAUCAAAUCCACCUCCAUUUCAUAUUUCAAAUCUGCACUAUAAAUAGGGAAGCAUCGAACCCUAAUGUUUCAUCAAGUAUCUCAAGCUUCCUCUCAUUUCUAGUUUUCUCUCAGGCGAAAGAAGGGUGAGAAAUGGUGGUCUCAGUCAUACUAGAUUGCGUUGUUCCAUCAUCUUCCUCAUCCCGGGUCGUCGACUAUGCUGGCGGCUGGCCUUCCAUGGAGAAACCUAAAAGCAAGUCAUCAAAAUCUUCAAGUGCUCCAAUCCUGGUCUUUCACUUCCCUGUUAACUCCUACCGCUCUCGCCUGUAGUGGUUGAGUUAAUUGCUUGAGGAGUGAGAUGGAGUUUUGUUUUCAUUUACAGUUUGAUGAGUGAUUUGCAAUAACUUCAUACAAGAAUAUUGUAUGCAAUGAAAGAGCUAUUUUUGAUUGAUUUGUUUUUUCUUAAGAUUUCUCCUAUAUCUUGUUCUCAGAUCCCUUUACCUUGUUUACCUCCUUUCCUGAAGUUCAGAUUUUCUUCAUCCAACACACUGAUAAGUGGCUCUGAGCCUGCCUAAUGACCUCGAAGAUCAAUGGGUUCUUCAUUUACUUUUCUUUUCGUCUAUGAGCAAUGAACUAGAGAUCAGUGAAUGAAAGAAAAAAAGGAAAUGUCAUAGAAAGUAUGCAACAUUGCAGAAGAAAAGAAGAUGAAGCUGUAAAUAUAUACGUAUAUUGACCAGUUGAUGACAAUUUGAUCCAUUGAUGAUUUAAUUUAAACCUUACCAGAGCGAUCAAUUGAACUGCUAUUAACUAUUUGAUUGAGAAAAACCAAGGGCAUGUUUCCCAAUGUGGAUCCUAUCAGUUAGGUUAGUUGGUCAUUGCGUGGUAAUAAAUAUCAGUAACGAAAUGUGAGACAUUACAGAGAAUUGCUAAAGAUUAGUGAAAAAUCUUUAAUUCUUGGUGACUAAGAAAAACUUAGAUUAAUGUUGCUAGAAGUAUUGGAGGUCAUAGAAGUAAGUCAAAGUUCUCAAGGAACUCAUGAGGAUGACUUCCUCCGAGUAGGGUCAAAGCAGCCACAAGGGUAGGAAGCAGGAGGCCAGGAACCAUCCAAGCAAUACUAUAAAUUGGGAACAUGGGCAUAUAUCAUUUGGCUUUUCUUGCUAUAUAUACAAGAAAAUUAACCACCCCAAUCCCACUAUAAACACAGAAUCAUCUUCACUCAAAUUUCAUCACCAACCUUCUGGAUCAUAAUUUUCUCGGACAAGGAAGAGCAGAAACCAAGUCAAUUACAAUGGUGUUUUCAGCCAUCUUGAGUUGUUUUUGGCUUAGUGAAGAGGUGAAAUCUAACAGCAAAUCAUCAAAACCUUCACAAGCUCCAAUACUGGUUUCUUACUUCCCUGUCAGCCUUCCUCUCUCGCUUGUAGUACUUUAAUUACGAAGGAGAGAUCACCUGCUGAAUCAUAAAGGCAGAAAUGGUUUAUUCAUCUGUUAUAUUGAUCAACUCAUGGGGUUUUUUAAUGUAUAAAUUCAUUAAUUCACGAUUGAUUUGUAAAUUAAUUUGAUUGAAGCACACAUAUUAUAUAAGAUUAUUGUUUCUUGAUGAUAAUUAAGCUAAUCAUCAUAUAUACCUUUCCUAAUUAUAGAAAAACCAGGGCUUGUUUGGAAACGGUUGUGAAAAAUAAUUUUUGAGAACAAGUUUUACAAAUUGUUUUAUAAUAUUUUGUAGAAAAAAAAGUUUAUUUAAAAACUUGAAAUGUUUUUAAUAUUUUCAAAAUAAUUUUUAUAAUUAUUUUUUAAAAUAACUCUAAAAAAUAUAAGUGAAAACAAUUAAAAACUGUUUUAUAAAAACACCAUAUUUUCUAAUUUGUCAAACAUAUUUUCUAGUUUUUUGUUUCUGAAAAACAGAAAAUUAUUCUCCAAAAGAAUUGCUAAACAAACUCUAGACUACUUCAAUCCUCAUUUGUAAUUAUCUUGAUUAAUAAUAUUGUUGUGUUCCUUCGGCUAUUACCAAUUGGCAACACUUGACCCAACAUUUGAUAUUAGAGUUCUAAUUAAUAUAUAAUUAAAAUUUUCUAAUUAUGUGUAAUUUAAUGAUGGGAUAUUAUUGAACAGCAUCAUAAAAAAAAUUUAAUAUUAACUAGAUUUAUCACUUAAAAUAUUGAUAACAUUAUUUUUUUUUUAUAUAUAUUUCAUCUAUGUCAUUUACCUUGAUGCCGUGAUGAAUACUUCUACUAUUACUUAAGUUGAUAAAGUCAAAAAAUAUUGUUAUGUACUGAGAGUGACUUUCUUCCUCCAUGGUCAAAGCUGGCACAUGCCAUAGGAAGUGGAAGCUCACGAGCAACAUGGGUACUUAUCAUUUGACUAAGAUAAAAUUAAUUAGGAUAAAUAUUAAUAAAAUUAAAAAAAACAGGUAAAUAUUUUAAUUUGAUAAUUAAAAAAUAAAUUAAUUUUAUCGAAUAAUAAAAAUCAAAUAAUAAGUUUUAAGUUUACAAUUUAAGAAUAAUUUAAUUUAAAAUUAAUUAAGUUAUUAAAUAUAAGUAUUAAAUUUUACCAAAAUGUCAUUUUCACCUCGUCUUGAUGAAGCCAUUAAGUAUUUAACAUUAGUCAUUGAAUUCUUUUUGGAUCAUUUUGAAACCCAAUGAUGUUGGAGAAAUGUUGAUGAUUUAUUGUUUGGUAUGUUUUAAGGUUAAAUAUUUAGGGUUCAAGGUUUAAAAUUACUAUUUAGGGUUUCAUUAUCUUUUAAUUCAACAACACUUGUAUUAUCAAAUAUUUGAAUACUUAAAGCUUCUAUUAUUCAUCAGUCUUUGAAAAUGAUGUGUAUUUAUUGUAGAGGCCACAACAAAAGCAGUAAUACUGAAUACUUCCUACUAUCCUGACCAGUUCUUAAAGUCCAAAUGAAAUGAAAAUCUUGUGACACUGAAAGUGACUUUCUUCCGAAAUAGUCAGAGCAGCCACAACUGAUGGAAAUUCAAAGGAUCCAACUCACAAUUUUCACAAGAAACAUGGUCAGUUGGACUUCAAUUGCUUUAUAUUCAAGAUAUUAAGUGAUUUUAGCACCGAGUAAAUAUCGGAUUGCCCUCAAGUAGGAUGUCUUAUUUUUCCAAAAUAUAAAUAAAUCCCCUUAAUUAGGAAGAAAGCUUGAGAAUCACAUCUAAUGAUAAGCAUUAUCCUAACAUAUUUAUUUAGUCUUCUCAAGGAGACUUAGUUAAUAUAUAUGUUUUUCUUCAUUGGUUUGGUCCCACCCUCUAUUUGUUUGUUCCCUAGAGCUGGUUAGACUAGUCAAAAUUUGAAAGGUGGUGUAAUUUGACACGACUUUUCUUCAAAGACAUGGACACCACAGCACCAAAGUUUAGUUGUUGGGUCUUUUUCUAUAGUCGGAUUAAGCCACUUGCUGCCACGAGUCUCACAGGAAGGUCCAGGGAAUUGACCCAUCUCAUAUAUUUAUCAUUUAUCUUUCCUUGCUAUGCAAGUAAAUCAACCCUACUUCCAUUUCAAAUCUGCUGUAUAAAUAAAGAAGCAUCUUAGCCUAAUAUUUCAUCAAAUAUCAGACACUUUCUCUCAUUUCUAGUUUUCUCUGCAGGCAAAUUAAGAAGGUUAAAAAUGGUGUUCUCGGCCAUACUAAGUUGCUUUGUUCCAUCUUCUUCCUCGACCCGAGUCUUCAAUGAUGCUGGUGGGUCUAGUUUGAAGGAACCUAAGAGCAAGUCAUCGAAAUCUUCAUCAAGAGCUCCGAUCCCGGUCUCUUACUUCCCUGUUAACUCCUACCUCUCUCGCUUGUAGUGAUUAAUUUGAUCGCAAGUUGGAGUUAGACUUUGAAGAGUACCAAUGGAUUAUUGAUUCAGUUUAUGUAUUAUAUGAUGGGGUUCCUCAUCAUGCAGUUGCUUGAGGAGUGAUGAUGGAGUUUGUUUUAAUGUACAGUUUGAUGAUUAAUUUGCAAUAAUUAGAUUCAAGAAUAUUGUUAAUUUCCUCCAACUGCAUGCAAUGAAACAACUCUUUUUAAUAUAAAGUUGGGUAUGAUGAUACCAUGAAAUUACCUGCAACCAAAUAAGACAUUAACCCCAACUGAACUUCCUUGUUGUUUCUCAAUUUGAUCAGUAAAGGAGGAAGUCUUAAAAAAGCCAAUGGAAAAUGACCCCACCAUUUUAGAGAAACACUAGGUGAAAUUUGAUCCACAGAAUCUUCUAUACAUAUUUUAAAGUUGUGAGUGUCUCUUAAACCUAUAAUGGACAAUAUCUAUGUGAGAGAUGACAAGUUAUUAUAAAUAAUAUUAGAGUUAAUUCUUUAUCCGUGAAAGUUUGUUUGACCUUGUAAAUGGUUUUUAUCUUUUUGUUAUCAUAAUUCUAUGCAUUACAAUGAGGACGUUGCGUCUUUCUGAAGGCCACGCUAUAUAUGUAUUGAUUUUUCUUCAUUUUAUAAGCAUUCUGAAGGCCACGCUAUAUAUGUAUUGAUUUUUCUUCAUUUUAUAAGCAUUUUUUAAAGUCAUGAGUGUUUAUGAGGCACAAAACGGAUCACUACAAAUAUUUAUAUAGAUUUGCAUUUAAAUCCAAUAAAAUAUUAAAGAAAAGACUAAAACGGAACUUCGGUAUUGUAACUACUUAUGACCUAGUAGUAAACCUGAUUUUAAUAUAUCAUAUUAGAUUAUUUAUUUUUUAAAUACAUAAAUUGUUAGGUAAUAGAUCAACGAUAUAUACUAGACCGUUAACAUUAUCUAUAUAUUUAUCUUUGAAUUGAGCAGCAACAGCGAUUGACAUGCUUGUUGGUGGGACCUAAUUCAACAAUGAAUUGUAUUAUCACAUAUUUUAAUACUUAAAGUUUCUAUAAUUAAUUAGUCUUUGAAAAUGAUACAUAUUUAUUGUAGAGGCUACAACAAAAGCCUCUACAAUUAUUUUUAAGAGAAAUUAUUUAAGGGAUUUUUUGUAAUAAGAACAUGAAAUAAUAAUUUAUUUUUUUUCAUAUGUUAUAUUCUAACAAAAAAAAGUCCUUUAUUUUUUCAAAAAAGCGUCUAUUUCAUAAAUUAAUAUUAGUGAUUUUCUAGAUUUUUAAAAAUUUACUAAGCACAAUAUUAAAAACUUUUGUAUUCUAGGGAAGUCAUGAGACUUGGUCAAGAUAUGGAAUAUGGGAUGACGUUAAGCCUGAGAAAGAAAAUAUAAUUUCCCGGAAUAAGUAAAAGUAGGAUGUCUAAGGAAGAAAGCAUGAGAAUCACAUUGGAUGAUUAGUUUUAUCCUAUCAUAUUUAUUUAAUCUUAUUCCAAAGGAGACUUUAACUAAUAUGUUUUAAUUUUCUUCAUUGUUUUGGUCCCACCCUCUAUUUGUUUGUUACCUAGACCUUCCCAUUUUUGCUAGAAGGUUUUCUUCUUCUGGGUCAGACUAAUCAAAAUUUCAAAAGUUUAGUUGUUGGGUCUUUUUCUAUAGUCAGAUCAAGGUAGCAGCAGCUGCCACGAUUGUCACAGGAAGCUCAAGGGAAUCAACCAUCUCAUAUAUUUAUCGUUUAGCUUUCCUUGAUAUGCAAGUAAACCAACCCUACUACCAUUUCAGAUCUGCAUUAUAAAUAGAGAAGCAUAUGUUAGCCUAAUAUUUCAUCAAAUAUCACACACUUCCUCUCUUUUCUAGUUUUCUCUGCAGGCAAAUCAAGAAGGGUUAAAAAUGGUGUUCUCAGCCAUACUAAGUUGCUUUGUUCCAUCAUCUUCCUCGUCCCGAGUCUACAAUGAUGCUGGUGGGUCUAGUGUGAAGGGCCCUAAGAGCAAGUCAUCGAAAUCUUCAUCAAGAGCUCCGAUUCCGGUCUCUUACUUCCCCGUUAACUCCUACAUCUCUCGCAUGUAGUGAUUAAUUAAUUUCACUGCAAGGUGGAGUUAGAAUUUGAAGAGUAUGAAUGGAUCAUUGAUUCAGUCUAGGUAUCAUAUGAUGGGGUUCUUCAUCAUGCAGUCGCUCAAGGAGUGAUGACGGAGUUGGUUUUCAUGUACAGUUUGAUGAUUGAUUUGCAAUAAGUUGAUCGAAGAAUACUGUAUUAGAUCUUCAUCUUGUUAAUUUCCUCCAACUGCAUGCAAUAAACAGUUCUUUUUAAUAGAAAGUUGGGUACGAUGAUACCAUGAAAUUACCUGCAACCAAAUAAGACAUCAGCCCCUACUAUGAAAAUUGAGAAACAACAAAAGAGUUCACUUGGGGUUUCCAUUGGAAAGAAUCGGUACUUGAAAUAUUGGCAAUCAGUGAUUACCAUAUGUAUAACUGCUAAGUAAACCCUAGAAUCAGUUAGGGUUUAUCAUCAUCGAAGACAAAGGUUGUUCGAAUCAUAUAUUAAGCAAAAACUACUUACAUUAUACAGAUGAUGAUCAGUAAGGGAAGAAGUCUUAAAAAAGCCAAAGGAAACUGAACCUACGAUUUUGGAGAAAUUAGGGUGUAAUUUGAUCCACAAGGUGAUGACUGAUGACUAGAUAUGCAUGGUGGGAUUUGCCCCAGCGGUCCAUGAUGAUAGAAGGCUAUUAUCCUUUUACACAAGCACUAAAAGAAAAAGGAUAAAUUAAGUCGCCUUGCUUUGUCCUUUCAUCCGCCCAAAAUUCUUGCAAUAUGCACCUCAAAUCAAACCUAAGAGUAUCAAUCACUCUCUUUCUCUCCAUCCAUUAAAAAGUAUUAAUUUCAAACUUGUGAUAUCUCACAUGUUGGAAGUAGAUUUGUAUAGGUUUUUUAAUUUUGUAGAUGUACUUUAAAGUUGUGAGUGUCUAUUAGACUCACAAGGAAUAAUAUCUAAAUGAGAAAUAGCAAGUCAUUACAAAUGAUAUUAAAGUUGAUCAUCGAUCUUAAUAUGAGAGUUUAUUUGACCCUGCAAGAGAUCUUUUUAUUUCUAUGAUCUUAUGAGAUACAACGAGAACGUUAUGCACUUAUAUGAGGGUGUAUUAUAUAUGUAAUGAUUCUUCUUCAUCUUAUAAAUAACUUUUAAAGUUGUGAGUGCGUAUGAGACCCAAAACGGAUCAGUACAAAUAUUUAUAUAAACUUAUAUUUAAAUCCAUUAAAAUAUUAUUUGUUAUAUUAAAAUAAAUUGUUGUUUUUUAAAUGAAUUGGAAAUAUUUUGAAGUGUUUGUUCAUAAAGAAUUUUGAUAAAUAAUUGAAGAUAUGAAGAUUAAUUGUAGGGGACUCGUGACACGUAUUCAACAUAUCAAAUAUAAUUACUGAAUAAACAGCCAAAAAAAUAAAUGUAAAAAAUAAAAAAAAUACCAGGGCACCAGCUGAGAGAUGUGGAAGGGUCUUUAUCGGCCAAGAAGAGGAUGAGAUUGGCCUUGUUCUUCGGCGCUUCUGAUCUGAACUUCUCCAGCACGCCGUCGAACGUCGACACAGUGGCGUCCACCAUUUUCAGCGGCGUAUUCGCUUUUUCUCAGGGGUAUUUUGGGAAAUCUAGACAAUAUCAUUGCUUGACAACAAUGGCAUUCGUCUGUGCUCCUUUUACAGGUUUUAAGCUAAAAUUUGCCCACCCACAGGUGGUGAAAUUCCUGAUAUGCCCUUCAUAUUGGAGUCACCAAAAUCUCCAUGACAUAGUAUAUCACAUUUAUGUCAAAUUUGGAGCCAAUGAUAUAUUUUGUGGUUUUAAAGUUCAUUAUAUACUUAGAAAGGCUUAGAAUACAAAUUUGAUAAGGUCAAACAAUGAUAUUUUUCUAAAAAUUUUUGUCCUACGAGGUGGGCACACAUACCUAGAAAAGCCUAAAUCCUUGACAUUAUGCAAUCUUACUUUACAAGAUGGUAGCAAAUAAUUAAUUAUUUUUCAAACACCGUAUCCCCUUAAAUAUUAUAGUUGGUUCAAUAAGUGGUAGAGUCAGGAUUUCAAUUAGGGGACUAACUCUUAAGACAUAUGUAAAUUUUGCUGAUCAUAAAAGAUGUGGGCUUUGACCCAAUAACCCAUCCUUGGCAUUUUCUAAGGGGGGGCAUAAGUUGGUUUGGGGUGGGAAGUGGAGAUGGCUGGUUUCACCCUUGGGUUCAGUCAUUGUAUUGAUUGAUCCAAUGAAGAAUAAUAUUUAGUAUUGACAUUUGCCUUCAUAAAUGAGCUUAAUAGUAUUAUCUUGGUGAGUGCAAUCCAAUAAUUAACUUGAUAUGUGUUUUUCAUAAAAUUUUAUGUAUCUUUUUAUAUUUGCCCUUUACUACCAAAUGUCAUUGUUCAUUUUGAAUUUUUUUCUUCUAUAAUGAAUAAAUACUUUUAAUUUAAUAUAAAAUUAUAAUUAAUCAUAUCAUUUUUUAGAACAUGUAGUAAUAGUAAAUAUGUGUUAACGUCUUUGAAUCCGGGACUCGCUUUCUAUGAUAAAAAGAAUAUACCAUUAACAUUAUGAAAUGAUUUUUGAAACUCCCACCAAUCAACAUUAAUUAGUUAGUCCUUUUUAGUUAGAGAGUUAAUUUUACUAAGACCCCUAGGGUGUAAAUACGUACACAUAACCAUUAUUAAUUUUAAAUUUUGUCACUAAGUGUCUUUGUAAAUUUAUUUUGUUUAUACAAUUUAUUUUUUAAAGAGAUUUUAAGGAAGUGUAAUUAAUAAUUUUUUGAAAAAUAAGUUUUAUUCUUAAAUUUUUUUUAUAUAUGAAAUACAUUUAUAGAAGUGCUAAUUGAUAGAAUUUGAAACUAAUGAUGGUUUAAUGUAUUUAUACUGAACCUUGGGAUGUGAAUGAAACUAGCCCUUAGCGAAAUAGGGUUGAGGAGUUAAACAUGCAUGGGUUGAUUGUAUUAAGGAUGAAAAGUACUAUUAAGUUCUUGGAGACCAAGCAAAACUUGGUUAAUACUCCUAGAAUCAUCAGGUGGUCGGACUAGAAGUCAAAAGUUUUGGAGGAAUUGAAAACGACUUCCUCAAACUACAGACACAAGUGUGGGAAACAGGAAGGAAUUAAUUAACCAUCUAAGCUGGGGAGAUGGGGACACAACAUUUGAAUUUCCUUGCUAUACAAGAAAAUUAGUCCAACUUCACAGUAUAACACAUCAUCAUCUUCAUUCAAAUGUCAUCACUACUCACACUUCAGCUAGCUAGCUCUUGGCUUCUCAAACACUCACUUCCCUUAACUUCUGAAUAGAAAAAUUAAGGAGAAUUAAGGGUGAUUCAACAAUGGUGCUCUCAGCCAUUCUAAGUUGUUGUCUGCCAUCAUCAUCGUCGACUCUGCCUCGGGUGUCCGAUGAUGGUGGUGGGUCAAGAUGUGACAUUAGGCAAUCUUACCUUGCAAGAUUGUGGUUAGAUUGUAGAAUAAGCUAGCUAAUUUACUAUUUAUCAAACACUUUUUUCCCUAUAAAUUGAACUUUUUAAGUUAACUUAAGCCCCAUCUAAAGUUAUUAUAGCUACUAAUUAGCAAUCACAUCUCCCUUUCUAAUGGGAUUCUUAUCAACCAUUUUCAGGUGUUUGAUGUCUUGUUUUUCAAGCAAUGAAGCAAGAAAAUCUCCAGAGAAGCCUAAGAGAAAAUCAAAGUCAUCUAGGGCUCCCAUUGUGGUCUCUUCCUUCCCUGUCAACUCAAAUCUUUCUUGCUUAUAGCAUGCUGAAAUUUGAAAUGUAGUUGGUUCAAUCAUGGUAUGGACUGAUCUAUAAUUAAUGGCAAUGAAGCCAUGGUAUUGAUAGUUGCCUUUGCAAAUGAGCUUAAUGUUCUUAUAUAUCUUGGUGAGUAUAAUUCUAACUAUUUGAUCUGUCUUUUGAAUAUGAUUUAUGGUAUUUUACCCUACUGCAUGCCUUUGCUUUGGUUACCUCCUUGUGUGAACUGCCCAAUGGUCAUAAAGAUUAAUGAGUUUAAGCCUUGUUACGUUUACCCAUGCACAAAUUUGUAAUGUCAUUCACUUUGAAUUAAUUUCUUGGUGUAGACGUAUGAAACAAAAACUCUUUAUAUGAUACAAAAUUAUAGCUCUUAUCAUUUUUAAGACACGAUGAUGGAGGACGACAUCAUUCACUGCUUGAAGACCAAGCAAAACUUGGGGAAUACUCCUAGAAUUAUCAGGCGCCACACAAGUCAAAAAGUUAUGAAGGAAUAUUGAAAAUGGCUUCCUCAAUCUAGAGUCAAAGCAGCCACUAGUGUAGGAAACAGGAAGGAAUUUACCAUCUAAACAAUAUCACAAGCUGGGAAGAUGGGCACAUACCAUCUGGCUUUCCUUGCUAUGCAAGAAAAUGAGCCCAACUUCCAUUUCAAAUUAAACUUCCACUAUAAAUAUGUAGAAUCGUCUUCAUUCAAAGCUCAUUAAUACAAACUCACACUUCAGCUCUUGGCCUCUCAAACCACUUUGUUUAAUUUCUGAAAGCAGAAGGAGAAGGGUGAUUGAUCAACAAUGGUGUUCUCAGCCAUCAUAAGUUGUUUUCUGCCAUCAUCAUCGUCAUCUCGGGUGUCUGAUGAUGCUGGUGGGUCAGGCUCAAAGGUGCCUUCCAUGGGGAAAGACAAGAUGAGCAAAUCAAAUUCUUCAGGAGCUCCAAUAGUUCUUUCUUACUUUCCAUUGAACUCCUAUCUCUCUCGCUUGUAGUUGUACUACUAAUUGCAUUCUGAGGAAAGGGGAGUUGAAUUUGCAGAAGGUAUCAAUGGUUAAUUUCUUCAGCUCAAUGAUGUUAUGUGGAUCAGUUAAUUAAUGGGGCUUCUUGAUCAGUCAGUUCAGAGACCACACACCAUGGGGCAGUUGCUUAUGGGGUGGUGAUGUUGAAGGAAGAACAGCACUCAUGUACAUAUAGUUUGAUGAUUGAUUUGUAGUUUGAUUGAAGCAUAUCAUGUAAGAUCAUGGGUCCUUUAUUUUUAUUAGUAAUAUCCUGAUGAAUAAAAUUCAAGUGUAAUCCAAUUGUUUGAUUUGUGUUUUGGUAAGAGUUCUUAUUUCAUGUUAAUCCAUAUCCAAAUUCUUGUGCUUAACUUAAUAUAUUCAACAUAUUUUCAAUUAUAUCUUCGAAUUCAAUAAAAAAGACGAAGAAGAAGAGGAAAAUCCCUCAAAUUUGAAAUAAAAUACAACUUUAUUUUCAAAAUAAAUUCUCAAAACUAUUUUUAGUCCAAAAUUUAUUCUACCUAUGCUUUAAUUUGAAUUUUUUUUUUAAUUUUUCAAAAAUAGAAAAUCAUUUUAAAAAUUAAUUAUAACUUACCAUAAAGAACUGAUCUUCAAAUUUGAUCUAAUAUCAUGAUCCCUUUUUUGGUAUGAUCUCAAGUAUCUUGUUCUUAUCAUAUAUAAAAAAAAUGUUCUUAAAUUAAUACAAAAUGAUGAUAUGUCAUGUCACUUGAGAUACUUUCGAAAUGAUAGAAUAGAUAGAUUAGAAUUAGAAACCAGGAUCAUAGAAAUAAAAAAUUUAUUAUUAUGAAAAUCAAAGUCAACUUUUACAAGAAUCUUAUCCUUUUCUUACACAAUAUAUUAUGAUAGAUCUUCAAUAUUUUCACUUUUAUUCUUGCAUUCCAAACACUUCUAGAGAAUUUGCAUUCCAAAAUCAAAGCCAACAUUAGAGAACUUGUCACCUAGAAAGUUAGGUCUUUUUUAAUUCUCACAUUGAAGAAGCAUGGACCAUGUUUUUGUAUUUUAAUUAAAAUUGUUUCCAAUAAUUUUAUAUAGAUAUUAUCAGUCAUUCUGCUAGCUGGUCAUUGCAACCUCACAGCACAUGCCCACAUACUAAUAAAUAUCAGAAACUUCUUCCUAGCUAGGUAAUGUGGGGCAUGGCAAAUAAUUGAUAAAAAAUGAGAAGUCUUCAAUUCUUGGUGACCAAGAAAAACUUAGGUUAAAGCAACCACAGGAGUAGGAAGCAGAAGGCAACCAUCUGAUCAACAGUACUAUAAGUUGAGAACAUAGGCACACGUAUCAUUUGGUUUUUCUUGCUAUACAAGAAAAUCAUCCCAAUCCCAUUAUAAAUACAGAAUUAUCUUCACUCAAAUCUCAUCAUCAACCUUCUAUUUCAUAAUUUUUCAGACAUAGGAAGAGCAAAAACGAAAGAAGAAAAAAGACACGUAAAUCAUAACGGUAUUCUUUAUUAAUCUCAUCUUACACAUACAAACAUAUAUAUAUAAAGAAAAAUAAAAUUUUAACGUAAUUGAUAAUUGAUAUGAUUCCUAUGCUCACGGAAUACAUCAACACUCAAGAAUCUACUUCAUUUGACACGUAUAAGCAUAAAUAAAAAAAAACAAAAUUUUAAUAUAAUUGAUAAUUAAUAUGAUUCCUAUGUCCAUGGAAUGUUCCGAUACUUUAAGUUUGAAAUAUUAGGCAGGUACCAUAGUGUGGGGUUAUCCUAUUGUAUUUGCAUGCACCUCAAGACCCAAUACCUUGUGGCAUGACUUAGGUUAGAUAGUACAUUAUUUGGGAUAUCCAUGGUACAACCUAAUUACUUUGAUUUGUAGGAAUCUACAUAUAAUCUCAAUUGAUUUCAAACAAUUAAUUUGAUUUAGAAAAUUGAUGAGUUUAAUUACCAGGCACAUAAACUAUUUCUUCCACAAACAUAAUUGUGUCAUACAUCUUAUGGAUAAAUUACACUAGUGACUAUAAGACCAUGAUUAAAAUUUUUAUCCAAACAAUUAUAAAAAUUAUGGUUGAUAUUUAAACAAUUUUUUUUAUUAAUAAAAAAACUAUCCUAAAUGAGAUUUAAAGAAGGUAACAUCACUGAUUUGAUUGCCUCCGCUAUUGCAUUGUUACCUUACUUUUGUACUCAUCUAAGUCAAUUGCCCAACCAAAAUAAUGAUUUACUAUUCUUAAUGACCACACGACAUUCAUUAGUAGAUAAUGCGUCACACCUUCUUUGAAGAUGGGCAGGCUAAGGAAUAUUCUUAAACCAUAAGUAAUUUAAUUAUAGAAUAUUCAUUUAUAGAAACUCAGUCACACCAGUUAGCUAGGCAACAAAUCAUACAUUCUCAUUUGACUAUAAAUGAAAGUUAUAAUAGCUUCUAAACAUAUAUAUAUAUAUAUAUAUAUAUAUAUAUAUAUAUAUAUAUAUAUAUAUAUAUAUAUAAACAUAGUAAAGAUAUAGUUAUAAGUGAUGUUUGUUUUUUGGUUAAAUAGAAAAAGCCAAAUAUUUUGGUUUUUUCUAUUCAGUUAAAAGUAACUAAUUGACAUCAACCAACAUCAUUAAACUAAACUUAUUGAGAAUAAGUUCACUUUAAUUAUGUUGGUUAGUACCAAUAAGAUACUUUUAGCUGAAUAGAAAAAAUCAAAAUAUUUAGCUUUUUCUAUUCAGCCAAAAAAUAAAUACCAUUAUAGUGUUUUAAAUUCUUUAGUAGAUAACGAGGUAGGAUUAAAAAUAAUUAUUUUUCCCAUUCAAUUGAUUUGUGUUUGACAACUUUUUCUAAAUAUUUUUUUAUAUUAAAAAUAAGUGUAAUUUUGGUUUUUGUUUUUAUAAAAUUUAAUUUAAGAAAUAUUUACUUUUGACAUCAUGUUAUUUUCAAAUGUAAAUUCGAUCUGGGGUUUGUCAGCUUUAUUCAAUAUGGUUAAAAAUUACAUCUAAUUUUUGUAUAUUUUUCAAAUUGAGACUUUUAGUUCAUAUGAUAGUGAUUUUAGAAAAUCCUUAUAUUUUUUUUAAUAUUUAAUAUUUUUUAUCUUUUAAAUGUUAAAAAACUAAAAACACUUUCUAUAAUAUUAUCAAACACACUCAUAUCCAAUAUGUUUUUUUUUUCCACAUAUUUGAUCCACACUUCCAAUAAUUAUGGUCAAAGACACUCAUCGCUGAUAUGGUUUUUUAUGUACUUAUUUCAUCCUUUGUGUAUAUUUUUCGAAGUAUUAAAAAUACUUUCUAUAAUCACCGUUAAAUACACAUAUCCUAUAUGUUUUUUUUUUUAAAUAUUUGGUCACACUUCCUAUGACCACGGUUUAAGAGCCUCGUAUCCUAUAUGUUUUUUUUUACAAAUUUGGUCCCACCCUGUCUGUAUGUUCCCCGAAGCUUCCCACUUUCUCUAAAAAGAUUUAUUCUUAAACUCAAGGGGAACCAUGUCAUAUAUGAUUUGGCUUUCCUUGCUCUGCAAGUAAAUCAAAUCCACCUCCAUUUCUUAUUUCAAAUCUGCACUAUAAAUAGGGAAGCAUCGAACCCUAAUGUUUCAUCAAGUAUCUCACACUUCCUCUCAUUUCUAGUUUUCUCUCAGGAGAAAGAAGGGUGAAAAAUGGUGGUCUCAGCCAUACUAGAUUGCGUUGUUCCAUCAUCUUCCUCAUCCCAGGUCGUCGACUAUGCUGGUGGCUGGCCUUCCAUGGAGAAACCUAAGAGCAAGUCAUCAAAAUCUUCAAGGCUCCAAUCCUGGUCUUUCACUUCCCUGUUAACUCCUACCACUCUCGCCUGUAGUGGUUGAGUUAAUUGCUUGAGGAGUGAGAUGGAGUUUUGUUUUCAUUUACAGUUUGAUGAGUGAUUUGCAAUAACUUCAUACAAGAAUAUUGUAUGCAAUGAAAGAGCUAUUUUUGAUUGAAUGUUGGGUAUGUUUGAUGCCAUGAAAUUAAUUACCAGCAACCAAACAAGACAUGGAACCC
RNAcentral lists this long non-coding RNA (14462 nucleotides) under Vitis vinifera (wine grape). RNAcentral's name for it is "long non-coding RNA (VVIN_LNC004389)". The record is from RNAcentral. Lineage: Eukaryota; Viridiplantae; Streptophyta; Magnoliopsida; Vitales; Vitaceae.